CUGAAAUUCCUAAAACCUAGACAACCUUCCCCUCCAAAAAAAAAAGAACAGAGAUCGGCGCUAACUCGACUCCCACCGUCUUCUCUCCUCUCAUUUCACCUUGACACCACUCAUCACUUUGUUUUCAUUUUUUAUCAUAACAAAAUCCCAAUUCAGCCUUUGAAUUUCAGAUUUGAAUACAGAGACAAAACCUCCCCAAAACAAGAAGAAAUUAUAUAAAAAAAGGGAUGAAAUCUAAAAGUUGGUUUGAUUGGAGAAAAUAGUUUGUUCGUUACUAGUGCCGCCACUAGCGUAUAGCAGUGAUUUGGGUUUGUUCUUCUGAUUUUGUUGAUGAUCCGGCUAAGCUUACUCAUCAGUUGUUUUAUUAGCUUCGAUUCAGUUGAUUUCGGUUCAUUUACAAAUAAAUAGUGGUUUUCCCGGCAUUUCAUUUGGGCUUAUUAGCAGCUGAACUUCGCAUGAGCUGGCUUUAGUUGUUGCUUUUUCUUCAGUGAUUUAUGUUCUAUUUGGCCGGGUUCUACUGUAACUAGCUCCAGUGGAUAUAGAGCUAUUUAAGGACUGCUGUUGCUGAAAAUCGUUGCUGCUACUGCUUGCCGGAUCCCGUCGUUUUUAUUUCUGCUUGAUUUUUGGUCAUUUCAACUUUUGAUUCAGGCAUUAGGUACUAUAUUGGGCAACUUUGAUUCCCUGUAUUCUCAUAUUAUCUACGCUCGCCUUUGUCAUAGAGAACGACCUAAUUGAGGCCAACUCGAAUAUUGUCGGCCCCAGUAAGCGGACGGACCGAGUGAUAUGAAUCAAGACGGCAUCGCUUAAAGCUCUGACUCUCCCGUACACUGAGACCACCAACCCUUGUACUUUUCUUUGAUUAUUUCAAGGAAGAUCUCUUAAUAUACAAAGGGGAUAUUCCCUUUGUAAAGACUCAUGUGUAUUUUGCCAUUGAAAAUAUACUUUUGUUUUGGGAGGCAAAACGCGUAGGAUUAGUUUUCAUUAAUAAAAAGAGAUUAAAGAUUACAACAAAUAGGAAAAAUAAGAUAAGGGGGGACAUGCACCAGUAUUGUUACCCAUAUAACAAUAACGGGCGUACACCUUACCUUGUUAAUCCUAUUGAGGCCAGAAAAUGCCUCUAGAUCUAAUAAGCAUGAAAAAUGAAAGAAGUGGUAAGAAUAAAGAAAUGUAUGAUCAUCACAAAGUUUAUCAAUGCUCUGUGAUGAUAGUACAUACAAUACUUGUAAUGUGAUGGAAAAUUGUAGACUCACUUGCUCCAAACCGCACCUCCAAAUACUAAGAACGAGCUCGAAACCUCAAGGCGAAGUCGACG
RNAcentral lists this long non-coding RNA (1312 nucleotides) under Nicotiana benthamiana. RNAcentral's name for it is "long non-coding RNA (NBEN_LNC029692)". Lineage: Eukaryota; Viridiplantae; Streptophyta; Magnoliopsida; Solanales; Solanaceae. The record is from RNAcentral.